UCCCUGAUAGCUCAGUUGGUAAAGAAUCUGCCUGCAAUGCAGGAGACCCUGGUCCGACUCCUGGGUCGGGAA
Molecule: transfer RNA, 72 nt
Filed under: Bos taurus (domestic cattle)
Lineage: Eukaryota; Metazoa; Chordata; Mammalia; Artiodactyla; Bovidae
Also listed under: 1 other name
Rfam family: tRNA
About the family: Transfer RNA (tRNA) molecules are approximately 80 nucleotides in length. Their secondary structure includes four short double-helical elements and three loops (D, anti-codon, and T loops). Further hydrogen bonds mediate the characteristic L-shaped molecular structure. tRNAs have two regions of fundamental functional importance: the anti-codon, which is responsible for specific mRNA codon recognition, and the 3' end, to which the tRNAs corresponding amino acid is attached (by aminoacyl-tRNA synthetases). tRNAs cope with the degeneracy of the genetic code in two manners: having more than one tRNA (with a specific anti-codon) for a particular amino acid; and 'wobble' base-pairing, i.e. permitting non-standard base-pairing at the 3rd anti-codon position.
Source: Rfam by way of RNAcentral